Long non-coding RNA from Papilio xuthus (Asian swallowtail), 344 nucleotides. RefSeq lists it as uncharacterized. Lineage: Eukaryota; Metazoa; Arthropoda; Insecta; Lepidoptera; Papilionidae. The transcript is spliced from 2 exons. The record is from RefSeq and is a predicted model, not a curated record.
CUACCUUACGGGUGUAGAUAAAAAAUAUUCCUUUGUUUUUAUACUUUCUUUUUUUUAAUUAUCAAGUGUGAUAAUGGCGGAUCGGAAGUUCAAAACUAAAAUGAAAUUAAUAUUUGUACUGUCAACUAUCACUGGUGUUUUACCCUACCGUCGGCCAUCUUGUCACGCAUGCUUCGAUGGAAUCUGCCACACUCGGUCCAAUGUCUUCACCGCUCAUAAAUUCUCCGGACAACUGGCUGUUGAUAAAACCGCUAAUAUUCUCUAUUUUCAUUACCAAACAAAUCAUUCAAUAGACCACACAGGAGCCUUCGAUUUAAAUAAUAUCAAAUUCAAUAUAAUCCCAA